CACUAGCAACCCGAGUGGUAGUCGUUCUUAUUUGGCUUAAAGCGUCCGUAGUCAGGCUGUUAAGUCUCCUGUGAAAUCCUGCAGCUUAACUGUAGGGCUUGCAGGGGAUACUGGCGGUCUUGGAGCCGGGAGAGGUUAGGGGUAUUUCUGGGGUAGCGGCGAAAUGCUAUAAUCCUGGAAGGACCACCGAUAGCGAAGGCACCUAACUAGAACGGGCUCGACGAUGAGGGACGAGAGCUAGGGGA
RNAcentral lists this ribosomal RNA (245 nucleotides) under uncultured archaeon. RNAcentral describes it as "partial 16S ribosomal RNA". It matches the Rfam family "Archaeal small subunit ribosomal RNA", at positions 474 to 718 of the family's 1478-position model. The record is from RNAcentral.